UAUCUCUGUAGAGUCUGCAUAUCAAUAAGCGGAGGAAAAGAAACUAACAAGGAUUCCCUUAGUAACGGCGAGUGAAGCGGGAAGAGCUCAAAUUUGAAAUCUUCAAGGUUCUACCUUGACGAAUUGUAGUUUAUAGAAGUGUUUUCUGUUAGUGGAGUGGCAAAAGUUCUUUGGAAUAGGACAUCAUAGAGGGUGAGAAUCCCGUAUUUGACCAUUACUUCCAGCGUUGUGAUACACUUUCAAAGAGUCGGAUUGUUUGGGAAUGCAGUCCAAAAUGGGUGGUAAAUUUCAUCUAAAGCUAAAUAUUGGCGAGAGACCGAUAGCGAACAAGUACCGUGAGGGAAAGAUGAAAAGAACUUUGAAAAGAGAGUUAAACAGUACGUGAAAUUGUCAAAAGGGAAGCGUUUGACACCAGUGUUGUUUUCUCGAAAAUCAAUUAAAAAGUCUGGAUUUUGUAUUGUAAUUGACCUUUAUCAGCUUUACUGCUACUUUUUUCUUAUUCUUUUUAAUGCACUUUUCGUUUAACAAGUCAACAUCAAUUUCUUUUGUUGUAAAAGAGUCAUUGGAAGGUGGCUUUCACUUCGGUGAAAGUGUUUAUAGCCUUUGACUUCUGCAAUCGGAGAGAUUGAGGUCUGCAGCGUAGAUCCUUCGGGGUUAGAUACGUUAGAUGCUAAGUUAUAGUUUUUCAUAGACAACAUGUUGACUAUGAUUAAUCAUGUAGCUUACUCGCUUAUGGCUAUUUUACCUACGCUUAGGAUGUUGAUGUGAUACUGCGAGC
RNAcentral lists this ribosomal RNA (778 nucleotides) under uncultured Neocallimastigales. RNAcentral's name for it is "partial large subunit ribosomal RNA". It matches the Rfam family "Eukaryotic large subunit ribosomal RNA", at positions 24 to 645 of the family's 3401-position model. The record is from RNAcentral. Lineage: Eukaryota; Fungi; Neocallimastigomycota; Neocallimastigomycetes; Neocallimastigales.